Long non-coding RNA from Dreissena polymorpha, 494 nucleotides. RefSeq lists it as uncharacterized. The transcript has 2 exons. The record is from RefSeq and is a predicted model, not a curated record. Lineage: Eukaryota; Metazoa; Mollusca; Bivalvia; Myida; Dreissenidae.
CCGCCAUUUUAUUUGUUCCAUUUAAUUUCUCCACAACAAAAACCGCAUGAAAACUUGUUUCAACAGGCAUUUACAACAAGAAUGGAUGGUGGUAAUUAUCAUGGGCCUUUCUAUCAAGAAAUAGGUGUGUAAGACAUUCAUUUAAUUGAACCUGGAAAUCAACCACCUCAGCUAAGAGAAAAUAUUUUAACAAUAGGUGUUGUUUUAGAACUUGUGAAAUCGGCUAAUAAACAGAAAUUGAAGUCAUCCAAAGUAGUGUGAAUGGGUGUGUGCAAUUAAGUCAAACUUGAUUGGAUGUCACCCGCACAUUUCAAGAACACGGAUUUGUAGAGCUGUGCAGGCUAAAAAACAGUUUGACAAAAAGAAGUCUAAAAAGAAUACCUUUGGUUUAUAUGUGGCUUAUUAAUAAUAUAAUAAUUGUUUAAUUAUUUCGAUUUUGGACAUGUUUUUAUUGUAUUUUAAUGUGAUCAAAACCAAUAAACAUCAAAAAGGUA